GCCCUUGAGAUCCCUUACCCAUUGGACUUGAACAGUGUCUGAGUUGGUAUAAAAGGAGGAAAAAUAGAACUGAAACUGAUGUAAAUUCUUUCAUAACACACAAGCUAGUUUCAAACAAUA
This 120-nucleotide small nucleolar RNA is filed under the name Echinops telfairi (small Madagascar hedgehog). RNAcentral's name for it is "Small nucleolar RNA SNORA61 (ENSETEG00000024600.1)". Lineage: Eukaryota; Metazoa; Chordata; Mammalia; Afrosoricida; Tenrecidae. The record is from RNAcentral.